AGGAUCAGUGACAUCUCACCAGGACUUUAGGUCCAACCACCAAUUGACAGGAAAUAAAGGGCAGAGGGACGGGUCAGGGGCAUCGAGGGGAUGCCCUCAGCUCCGGACGGGGGCGCUCUACAGGACAAACGGCUUGGAAGAAACAGAAGAAAAGAAAAAAGAGCAGUGACGGAGCCUGCAGAGGUGCUGCUGAAAUGGCGCGCGGUAAUGCCUGCUCUCCUCCUGGGGAAGCUGGCCGGCCUCUCGUCUCAGGCCCCGGCUGCACCCCGGUCCUCACCAGAGGCUUUCCUGCCGAGAUGAACUCAGGGCUGGUUUUCACUCAGAGGCUGGUACCUCCUUCCCCUCUAGCCAUUGGCGCUACCGCCUCCCCGUGGACCAAGUUUUCUCCCUGCAGUGGUAACACCUCCUUCAGAGCACAGAACUGACCGUCAGAGCCAGAAAGGGCUCUAAGAGCACACCGGGCCCAGCACCUCCUGUGAUAAAAUGAGGCCAUCAGCCCAGAAGCCCUGUGAGCCGUGGACGAGGGUCGGAGCGCUGCACACGGUGGCAGAGACCUCUGGCUGGCGCUCAGACCUCAGGGACCAGCAUUCUUCUCUCUUUCCCGUGCUGACCUCCCCAGAUGCACCCCCAUCUGACCCCUCACCUCCCACGGGCCUCCCAGUCUGUGGGGCGGGAAUCCACGUGGAACCAGAGCUCACGGCCCUGCCACGCUCCUCCCAGGCUCUGACCCAUUCACCUCUUCUCCUGGCGGCUUUGUUGCAUUUGGCCUUGGAGCUCUUGGGACAACCCGUGGCAGGACGGCAGCAGCCGGCAGGAACCAGCCACCCCGAGGCGGCUUCCCACUGGCAGGGCCUCGCUGGAGGUGUUAAAUACCCAAGUCCUGGCAAAAUC
Long non-coding RNA from Globicephala melas (long-finned pilot whale), 891 nucleotides. RefSeq lists it as uncharacterized. NCBI's taxonomy places the organism in Eukaryota, Metazoa, Chordata, Mammalia, Artiodactyla, Delphinidae. The record is from RefSeq and is a predicted model, not a curated record.